GAUGAACGCUGGCGGCGUGCCUAAUACAUGCAAGUCGAGCGAACAGACGAGGAGCUUGCUCCUCUGACGUUAGCGGCGGACGGGUGAGUAACACGUGGAUAACCUACCUAUAAGACUGGGAUAACUUCGGGAAACCGGAGCUAAUACCGGAUAAUAUAUUGAACCGCAUGGUUCAAUAGUGAAAGACGGUUUUGCUGUCACUUAUAGAUGGAUCCGCGCCGCAUUAGCUAGUUGGUAAGGUAACGGCUUACCAAGGCAACGAUGCGUAGCCGACCUGAGAGGGGGAUCGGCCACACUGGAACUGAGACACGGUCCAGACGCCUACGGGAGGCAGCAGUAGGGAAUCUUCCGCAAUGGGCGAAAGCCUGACGGAGCAACGCCGCGUGAGUGAUGAAGGUCUUCGGAUCGUAAAACUCUGUUAUUAGGGAAGAACAAAUGUGUAAGUAACUAUGCACGUCUGGACGGUACCUAAUCAGAAAGCCACGGCUAACUACGU
RNAcentral lists this ribosomal RNA (496 nucleotides) under uncultured bacterium. RNAcentral describes it as "partial 16S ribosomal RNA". It matches the Rfam family "Bacterial small subunit ribosomal RNA", at positions 28 to 506 of the family's 1533-position model. The record is from RNAcentral.